This 274-nucleotide ribosomal RNA is filed under the name uncultured bacterium. RNAcentral describes it as "partial 16S ribosomal RNA". It matches the Rfam family "Bacterial small subunit ribosomal RNA", at positions 523 to 796 of the family's 1533-position model. The record is from RNAcentral.
AUACGUAGGGUGCAAGCGUUAAUCGGAAUUACUGGGCGUAAAGCGUGCGCAGGCGGUUUUGUAAGACAGUGGAGAAAUCCCCGGGCUCAACCUGGGAACUGCCAUUGUGACUGCAAGGCUAGAGUGCGGCAGAGGGGGAUGGAAUUCCGCGUGUAGCAGUGAAAUGCGUAGAUAUGCGGAGGAACACCGAUGGCGAAGGCAAUCCCCUGGGCCUGCACUGACGCUCAUGCACGAAAGCGUGGGGAGCAAACAGGAUUAGAUACCCCAGUAGUCC